GGAGAAUGUCGGCGGAGAUGGAGGGUUUCAGAAGGAGAGAUGUGGCCUCACCGCUGUUGUGCCGUCGAAAGGAAAAGAGAGGGGGAUGGGUGGCGGUUGUUCGGCCGGAUAUGGAGAAGCAGGCGGUGGCCGGAAAAGGAGAACAGAGGGGGAUGGGCGGCGGUUUCAGAAGGAGAGGGGCGCUCGCCCUGUUUCCAAAUGAGAGAGAAAGAUAGAGGGCGAGAAGAGGGUGGAUACCGCCGGUCUUCGUGGGGCGGCACCGUGGUCAGGGCAGCGAUGGCGCUGUGGUCAGGGCGGCGACGGCUCUAAGAGAGCCGAACUCAAAAUCGGAGAGAAAGAGGGGUGUCCGGCGGCCCUCUGCCCCCGUCAGUGUGUGUGUGAGCGGUCGGAGGCUCAAGAUCUGGGGCGGCGAGAGAAUUGGAGAGAGAAUAUCUGAAAUUAGAGUG
RNAcentral lists this long non-coding RNA (446 nucleotides) under Salvia miltiorrhiza (redroot sage). Its description in RNAcentral is "long non-coding RNA (SMIL_LNC010134)". Lineage: Eukaryota; Viridiplantae; Streptophyta; Magnoliopsida; Lamiales; Lamiaceae. The record is from RNAcentral.